RNAcentral lists this ribosomal RNA (823 nucleotides) under Mycobacterium sp. RNAcentral describes it as "bacterial SSU rRNA". It matches the Rfam family "Bacterial small subunit ribosomal RNA", at positions 107 to 928 of the family's 1533-position model. Lineage: Bacteria; Bacillati; Actinomycetota; Actinomycetes; Mycobacteriales; Mycobacteriaceae. The record is from RNAcentral.
UGAGUAACACGUGGGCAAUCUGCCCUGCACUUCGGGAUAAGCCUGGGAAACUGGGUCUAAUACCGGAUAGGACCUUUAGACGCAUGUCUUUUGGUGGAAAGCUUUUGCGGUGUGGGAUGGGCCCGCGGCCUAUCAGCUUGUUGGUGGGGUGAUGGCCUACCAAGGCGACGACGGGUAGCCGGCCUGAGAGGGUGUCCGGCCACACUGGGACUGAGAUACGGCCCAGACUCCUACGGGAGGCAGCAGUGGGGAAUAUUGCACAAUGGGCGCAAGCCUGAUGCAGCGACGCCGCGUGGGGGAUGACGGCCUUCGGGUUGUAAACCUCUUUCACCAUCGACGAAGGUUCGGGUUUUCUCGGAUUGACGGUAGGUGGAGAAGAAGCACCGGCCAACUACGUGCCAGCAGCCGCGGUAAUACGUAGGGUGCGAGCGUUGUCCGGAAUUACUGGGCGUAAAGAGCUCGUAGGUGGUUUGUCGCGUUGUUCGUGAAAUCUCACGGCUUAACUGUGAGCGUGCGGGCGAUACGGGCAGACUAGAGUACUGCAGGGGAGACUGGAAUUCCUGGUGUAGCGGUGGAAUGCGCAGAUAUCAGGAGGAACACCGGUGGCGAAGGCGGGUCUCUGGGCAGUAACUGACGCUGAGGAGCGAAAGCGUGGGGAGCGAACAGGAUUAGAUACCCUGGUAGUCCACGCCGUAAACGGUGGGUACUAGGUGUGGGUUUCCUUCCUUGGGAUCCGUGCCGUAGCUAACGCAUUAAGUACCCCGCCUGGGGGAGUACGGCCGCAAGGCUAAAACUCAAAGGAAUUGACGGGGGGCCCGCACAA